CUGGGCUACGGGGACAUGUACCCCAAGACGUGGUCAGGCAUGCUGGUAGGGGCGCUGUGUGCACUGGCCGGAGUGCUCACCAUCGCCAUGCCUGUGCCAGUCAUCGUCAACAAC
Molecule: non-coding RNA, 114 nt
Organism: Ictidomys tridecemlineatus (thirteen-lined ground squirrel)
Lineage: Eukaryota; Metazoa; Chordata; Mammalia; Rodentia; Sciuridae
Source: Rfam